This 854-nucleotide ribosomal RNA is filed under the name uncultured organism. RNAcentral's name for it is "bacterial SSU rRNA". It matches the Rfam family "Bacterial small subunit ribosomal RNA", at positions 386 to 1232 of the family's 1533-position model. The record is from RNAcentral.
ACGCAGCAACGCCGCGUGCAGGAUGAAGCUUCUAGGAGUGUAAACUGGCUUUUAGUUGGGAAGAACAGACAGGUUUCGAAUAGGGACUUGUUUUGACGGUACCUUUAGAAAAAGCCCCGGCUAACUCCGUGCCAGCAGCCGCGGUAACACGGGGGGGGCAAGCGUUGUCCGGAAUUAUUGGGCGUAAAGGGCGCGCAGGCGGGAUGAUCAGUCUGAGGUGAAAUCUUUUGGCUUAACCGAAAGCUUGCCUUGGAUACUGUCAUUCUUGAGUUCGGAAGAGGGAAGUGGAUUUCCUGGUGUACCGGUGAAUGCGUAGUAUAUCAGGAAGAACACCGGUGGCGAAGGCGGCUUCCUGGUCCGAUACUGACGCUGAGGCGCGAAAGCGUGGGGAGCGAACAGGAUUAGAUACCCUGGUAGUCCACGCUGUAAACGAUGGGUACUAGGUGUUGGUCCUUUUUAGGAUCAGCGCCGCAGCUAACGCAUUAAGUACCCCGCCUGGGGAAUACGACCGCAAGGUUGAAACUCAAAGGAAUUGACGGGGGCCCGCACAAGCGGUGGAGCAUGUGGUUUAAUUCGAUGCAACGCGAAGAACCUUACCUGGGCUUGAACCGUAGUCGAAAACCCCUGAAAAGGGGUCCUCCUUCGGGACGGCUAUAGAGGUGCUGCAUGGCUGUCGUCAGCUCGUGCCGUGAGGUGUUGGGUUAAGUCCCGCAACGAGCGCAACCCUUGCCCUUAGUUGCCAUCAGGUUAUGCUGNGAACUCUAAGGGGACUGCCCCGGAUAACGGGGAGGAAGGUGGGGAUGACGUCAAGUCCUCAUGGCCCUUACGUCCAGGGCUACACACGUGCUACAAUG